AGUUGGAGGGAAGAAAGGAUUUAGGGCCUAGCAGGUGGGUUUGGAGGAGAGAAUGGGAGAGGCUGAAGGUAGAGAAGUGAUAGAAUUUGGCUCACCUGGAAGGGCAACGGGCUAGAAGGGCUUCUGAAACGCUUGCUGAUUGCAAGUUCAGGGUAGCAGGCAACCUCUGUGAAUGUCAGGACAAAGUGGAAAAGACAUUCUGAGACUCACUCAAGAAGAGUUUCAUUUCUUCUGUGGUGGUGCUGCCACAUGUGGUAACUGCCUUGUGGAGGGGGGAUGAAAACAAGCCAGGAUUGAGUGUUGAUAGGGUUUUACCAGCUGCAUGGAUGGAAAGAUUGAAUCCACCGGCAGUUUUCCUGCCUUUGAACUGUCAGAGAAUGCUUUUGGGAGGUGCUGUGGCGGUAGGCUGGAAGGACACCUAUCCCACCAUAGAGGAAGGAGUGGAGGCCUCUGGGAGGUGGUGAUGAGGGAGCUCCAUCUUGAAGGAAUAGAAGAAUCUAAACAGGUUGGAUCUCCUCACCGGAGUGCUUCCUUUACAGCAGGCUCCCAUCAUCUUUUCCUUCCAGGUGCUCUCCUUGCUUUGCUCAGAUCCACUCUCCACCCCUCUCCACUUUGCUCUCUGCCCUGGAAGAUUGAAGUGAAUGGAUAUCAACAGGGCUCCUAGCUCUUUGGCUUUUGGCUGGCUUUGGCCCAUGAAGAGCUGUGGCAAGAGAUCGGAGUCAGGGCAGAGAGUGAGUUUGGGGUAUUUGUCACCUUGGCUUCUCCUUGAAGGUUACCUGGUGCUUGCUGUAUCAUGCACCUGCAAGUCAACUGCUUCUCUCCAAACAUGUUACUCUGUAUGACUCUUCUACGUGGUCCUGGAAGCCUCUCUCUCCCCUGGUCAUCCCUUUGGGUCUAGAGGUGGUAGCAGCUUGGCUGCUGGUAGCCUGCAUUCCUCCUCUAUGCCCUUAGUGAAUAGUCCUUUUGUAAAUAAAUUCUCCUUGAGUUGUACUAAUUUGACUGCCCCAUCUGGUUGCCAUUUCAGUCUUGACUGAUGUAUGCAUUUUAUUGUGAUUCUGUUUUAAAAUUUUAUUCUUCUAUUAAAUGGUCUUUUAGCAGAGCUUAAUUUCCAUAACAACAAUCACAAUCUACAAAUUUGGUAUAAUUGAAGUACUUUUUGAAGGGAUAAGGCAAGCUUAUCAGUCUUUUGAAAAAACUGAUGUCCUUAAUCUGUAUACUCCAGCACAAAGUGAAUGAUAGACCAUUUAAAAUUAAUGUACUCAUUAAUUCAAUAAACAACUGAAUAC
Molecule: long non-coding RNA, 1286 nt
Filed under: Equus caballus (horse)
Lineage: Eukaryota; Metazoa; Chordata; Mammalia; Perissodactyla; Equidae
Description: lncRNA (ENSECAG00000031029.3)
Source: RNAcentral